Molecule: long non-coding RNA, 1007 nt
Organism: Callithrix jacchus (white-tufted-ear marmoset)
Lineage: Eukaryota; Metazoa; Chordata; Mammalia; Primates; Cebidae
Source: RefSeq, a predicted model, not a curated record
UAGCUCAGUGGUCCGAUAACAAUCCUUAGACCUACAUUAACCUAUGUCAGUGCCCCAUCCUGAGUGUGAAGUGGUGCAAGAGAGGAGAGAAGAGAGGACCUUGGGCCUAAUGAUAGCCAAGCACCUACCCUGUACAAUUGGCACAUAAAAGAACUACGACGGAAAUCCAGAUGCAAAACCUGGGAACAAAAUAAGAUACCUAUUCAAUCGCAAAGUGCUCCCUCUGCCUUGCUUUUCUGGGACCCCAAAACAUUCCUGUUGUGAAAACUGCAAGAAAAAACCCUGGCUCUGCCAAACAGAAUUCAACCAAGGACCUCAAGAUGUUAUGCUGAGUAUUACAUUGAAAUAAGGAAGAAUAAUAUUUAUCUAUUUAACUCGUUAUGAUGAAUGCAACCCCAUAAAUGCUGUAGAUGGAAGAUUAUUGAAGGAUGGAGAAGGGAACAAUUUAAUUUGCCGAGAGUUUUAAGCAUUUGAAUGAAGACGCAACCCUGGAAGAAUCUGGGUUAAAGAGGUGCUAAAUUGAGCAGAAAGCCAGCAGGGCUACGGAGAUUGGAGGAAAGGGGACUAACUCAUCCCCACCAUCACAGACUCACAUUGGGAUUGGUAAACAGAGGAGGAAGAAGAGACUGUACUCCGUGACCUUGUGUGAAGGUACUCAGUGAUCUCCAGUACACUGACCCACUGGAUACUUACCCAUGGUCUGGGAGAGACAGACAUAAGCACAGGAAAAUGAAUGAAAAACACAUAAGGAGAAAGAAGGAAUGAGGAAGAAGAAGCAAAAAAGACAAGACCUGAACUUUAGAAAAGAGAAUCCUGCAAUAUGCAACAACAUGGAUGAACAUUGAAGACAUUAUGCUAAAUAAAAUAUGCCAGGUAAAAGAUGAUGCAUCUCCUGCUUACCACCAUUGCUACAAGAUGGAUACAUAAUUUCCCCCAAAAUUUUCAUCUACAGUAAAAUCUCUUAACAAUCAAACAAAAAAAAUCUCCUUUUGAAACUGUGCAAAAUA